UCCCAUCCCAGUGUCCCCAGUUCCCAUUGUCCCAGUCCCCCCCAUUCCCCCAUCCCAGUAUCCCCAGUAUCCCCAUCCCAGUAUCUCCCAUUCUCCAAUCCCCAUUCCCCAUCCCAAUAUCCCCAGUAUCCCCAUUCCAGUAUCCCCAGUAUCCCCUGUAUCCCCACCCCAGUAUCCCCAGUUCCCCCAUCCCAGUUCCCCCAGUCUCCCCAGUAUCCUCACCCCAGUAUCCCCAGUUCCCCCAUCCCAGUAUCCCCAGUUCCCCAUCCCAGUAUCCCCAGUAUCCCCAGUUCCCCAUCCCAGUAUCCCCAGUAUCCUCACCCCAGUAUCCCCAGUAUCCCCACCCCAGUAUCCCCAGUUCCCCCAUCCCAGUAUCCCCAGUUCCCCAUCCCAGUAUCCCCAGUAUCCCCAGUAUCCCCACCCCAGUAUCUCCAGUUCCCCCAUCCCAGUAUCCCCAGUAGCCUCAUCCCAGUAUCCCCAGUAUCCCCACCGCGCUGCCCGCACUACAACUCCCGGCGUGCUCCGCGCGGGCCGCGCAGCCGCAGGAGGCCCGAGCCGCGGGACGAGGCCGCAGCGGCGGCUCCGGGGCCGGGCCAUGGCGAGCCCGGGCUCGNCCUUCCCUCACGGAGGAGCGGGAUGGAGCCGCUUCCCUUUCCUUCCCUCACGGAGGAGCGGGAUGGAGCCGCUCGCUUUUCCCUCCCUCACGGAGGAGCGGGAUGGAGCCGCUCGCCUUUCCUUCCCUCAAGGGAGAAGCGGGGGGGAGCCGCUCGCCUUUCCUUCCCUCACGAAGGAGCGGGAUGGAUCCACUCGCCCUUCCCCUCCCUCACGGAGGAGCGGCGUGGAGCCGGUAACCACCGCCCAAGUCGCAGGGAAGGGCGCGAUGGAACCGCCCGCCCUCGCCCUCCCGGCCCCGCUCACCCGUGCCCGGCUCGCCGCUCUCCCCGCGCCGCCUCUCGCCCAUGGCCGGGGCUCGCUCGGGACCGUCCCUCAGGCCGCCCUCAUGGCCGCCCCGCCCGGCCCCCGGCGCGGCCCCGCUACCGGGCCGGCGGCAUGAGGCGGUGCGGGGCGGCCGCCGCCAUCCGCCGGCCCCAGGAAGUGGAAGGACGGGGCGGGCGGGAGAAGAGGGAGGGAAGGAGGGGACGAGGGGCGGGAGCGGCGGGGAAAAAAACAGAAAGUGAAAACUGA
RNAcentral lists this long non-coding RNA (1185 nucleotides) under Parus major (Great Tit). RNAcentral's name for it is "lncRNA (ENSPMJG00000013095.1)". The record is from RNAcentral. Lineage: Eukaryota; Metazoa; Chordata; Aves; Passeriformes; Paridae.